RNAcentral lists this ribosomal RNA (1374 nucleotides) under Curtobacterium flaccumfaciens. Its description in RNAcentral is "bacterial SSU rRNA". It matches the Rfam family "Bacterial small subunit ribosomal RNA". Lineage: Bacteria; Bacillati; Actinomycetota; Actinomycetes; Micrococcales; Microbacteriaceae. The record is from RNAcentral.
UGCAGUCGAACGAUGAUGCCCAGCUUGCUGGGUGGAUUAGUGGCGAACGGGUGAGUAACACGUGAGUAACCUGCCCCUGACUCUGGGAUAAGCGUUGGAAACGACGUCUAAUACUGGAUAUGAUCACUGGCCGCAUGGUCUGGUGGUGGAAAGAUUUUUUGGUUGGGGAUGGACUCGCGGCCUAUCAGCUUGUUGGUGAGGUAAUGGCUCACCAAGGCGACGACGGGUAGCCGGCCUGAGAGGGUGACCGGCCACACUGGGACUGAGACACGGCCCAGACUCCUACGGGAGGCAGCAGUGGGGAAUAUUGCACAAUGGGCGAAAGCCUGAUGCAGCAACGCCGCGUGAGGGAUGACGGCCUUCGGGUUGUAAACCUCUUUUAGUAGGGAAGAAGCGAAAGUGACGGUACCUGCAGAAAAAGCACCGGCUAACUACGUGCCAGCAGCCGCGGUAAUACGUAGGGUGCAAGCGUUGUCCGGAAUUAUUGGGCGUAAAGAGCUCGUAGGCGGUUUGUCGCGUCUGCUGUGAAAUCCCGAGGCUCAACCUCGGGCUUGCAGUGGGUACGGGCAGACUAGAGUGCGGUAGGGGAGAUUGGAAUUCCUGGUGUAGCGGUGGAAUGCGCAGAUAUCAGGAGGAACACCGAUGGCGAAGGCAGAUCUCUGGGCCGUAACUGACGCUGAGGAGCGAAAGCAUGGGGAGCGAACAGGAUUAGAUACCCUGGUAGUCCAUGCCGUAAACGUUGGGCGCUAGAUGUAGGGACCUUUCCACGGUUUCUGUGUCGUAGCUAACGCAUUAAGCGCCCCGCCUGGGGAGUACGGCCGCAAGGCUAAAACUCAAAGGAAUUGACGGGGGCCCGCACAAGCGGCGGAGCAUGCGGAUUAAUUCGAUGCAACGCGAAGAACCUUACCAAGGCUUGACAUACACCGGAAACGGCCAGAGAUGGUCGCCCCCUUGUGGUCGGUGUACAGGUGGUGCAUGGUUGUCGUCAGCUCGUGUCGUGAGAUGUUGGGUUAAGUCCCGCAACGAGCGCAACCCUCGUUCUAUGUUGCCAGCGGGUUAUGCCGGGGACUCAUAGGAGACUGCCGGGGUCAACUCGGAGGAAGGUGGGGAUGACGUCAAAUCAUCAUGCCCCUUAUGUCUUGGGCUUCACGCAUGCUACAAUGGCCGGUACAAAGGGCUGCGAUACCGUAAGGUGGAGCGAAUCCCAAAAAGCCGGUCUCAGUUCGGAUUGAGGUCUGCAACUCGACCUCAUGAAGUCGGAGUCGCUAGUAAUCGCAGAUCAGCAACGCUGCGGUGAAUACGUUCCCGGGCCUUGUACACACCGCCCGUCAAGUCAUGAAAGUCGGUAACACCCGAAGCCGGUGGCCUAACCCU